RNAcentral lists this long non-coding RNA (455 nucleotides) under Pan troglodytes (chimpanzee). Its description in RNAcentral is "long non-coding RNA NONPTRT003689". Lineage: Eukaryota; Metazoa; Chordata; Mammalia; Primates; Hominidae. The record is from RNAcentral.
UGGAGUCUUCUUUGGCCAAGUCACCACAGGGACCCCAGUGAUGGCCAGACUAGGAUCAUCAUCCGCGUGCUCCUUCAGGACUUUCUCCACCAGAGCUUUCAGGCCCUUCAGUUCAAACUCGGUGAGAUGGGUCCAUUUGGCAGAGACCUCCGUGGCGGGAGAGCCGGUGGGGGUCUUGGGGUAGUCUACGGCCAAUGUGGUGGACUUCACACUCUCCUCCGACUCGUUAGACAAAGUCCUUUUGAGGAAUCGCAGGGCAGGUGCUUUGGGCUUCUUCCCGAGGGCCUCCUGGUCCUCGGAGGGCGUGCUGGUGGGUGAAGUGGAGCCAUCGGCGGGCGGUUUGGGUGCCCUGUCCCUGCCCUCGCCCUCCUCGUCCUUCUCCUCCUCCUCCUGAGGCUGCUGAUCACAGGCCUCCUCCUCCAUCUCCAGCCAGGAAUCCGAAGAGAAGCCGUCUA